Manduca sexta (tobacco hornworm) is the source of this 786-nucleotide long non-coding RNA. RefSeq lists it as uncharacterized. The record is from RefSeq and is a predicted model, not a curated record. Lineage: Eukaryota; Metazoa; Arthropoda; Insecta; Lepidoptera; Sphingidae. The transcript has 4 exons.
AAACGUCAAAUUCGUAUUACCUAAGAGCAAAAACAAAGCGAUAGCAAAGCAAACGGUUUUUAACACAGUGCUGCCUCUGUCGAACAAUCGGUAAAGUAAAACAGCAUUCAAUCUCUAUAGACACAGCAGAUUUUGGUAUUACGUAUGAGUUUUAAGAGCGAUCGAAUAGCAAUCAGCGAACAAAUACAACUGUCAAAUAGCAAAUGGUAAAUCAUUGAUUGUUGGUCGAUCGCUCGCUGAUCGCUCAGUUCGUAACGCUGUUUAUUAAUAGUUUUAAGUUGAUUAUUAAGGGUUUUUGUUUCAAUUUGUGCCUAUUUGGAUAUGGCUAGUGUAUUUUUAUUGUUAGAAGCUAUGAAUGGGGAAACUAGAAAAGCGUAAGACAUCUACUUUGCGGCGCAAUCUUCGAGAUGAUGCCGAAGCUUUGGAUCUGCCUAAUAAUUAAAUUCCAAGAAUUGUGCGAUGAAUUAAGGCCUUAUAAGUCGCAAACACGCAGGAGAAAUAAAAAUUUGUGUUGAGUGUAAAUUUUUCAAACAAAUUUCGCUGUGUGGGUUGCAUUGAUUAACAUGCUGAAUAUUUUUUUAAUGGAAAGGAUUACCACAGUGUAAAUGUUCAAGUUAUAUGUUACAGUGAUUCAAAUAUAAUUAAUGUGGAUGCAUCAUUAAGUGGGGUGAGUCAUGAUGCAUAUAUCUGGAGAAACUGUGAAAUGCAGGCUCAAUUACAAAACUUACACAGUAGAGGAGAAAGGAUCUGGUUAUUAGGGGACUUGGGGCAUCCAUUAAUGACAUG